GAUGAACGCUGGCGGCGUGCCUAAUACAUGCAAGUCGAGCGAACAGACGAGGAGCUUUCUCCUCUGACGUUAGCGGCGGACGGGUGAGUAACACGUGGAUAACCUCCCUAUAAGAAUGGGAUAACUUCGGGAAAACGGAGCUGAUACCGGAUAAUAUAUUGCACCGCAUAGUUCAUGAGUAAAAGACGGUUUUGCUGUAACAUAUAGAUGGAUCCACGCCGCAUUGGCUAAUUGGUAAGGUAACGGGUUACCAAGGCGACGAUGCGUAACCGACCUGAGGGGGGGGAUCAGCAACCGGGAACUGAGACACGGUCCAGACUCCUACGGGAGGCAGCAGUAGGGAAUCUUCCGCAAUGGGCGAAAGCCUGACGGAGCAACGUCGCGUGAGUGAUGAAGGUCUUCGGAUCGGAAAACGCUGUUAUUAGUGAAGAACAAAUGUGUAAGUAACAGUGCACAUCUUGACGGUACCUAAUCAGAAAGCCACGGCUAACUACGUG
This 497-nucleotide ribosomal RNA is filed under the name uncultured bacterium. Its description in RNAcentral is "partial 16S ribosomal RNA". It matches the Rfam family "Bacterial small subunit ribosomal RNA", at positions 28 to 507 of the family's 1533-position model. The record is from RNAcentral.